CGCGAAGAACCUUACCAGGUCUUGACAUCCUUUGACCAUCCUAGAGAUAGGACUUUCCCUUCGGGGACAAAGUGACAGGUGGUGCAUGGUUGUCGUCAGCUCGUGUCGUGAGAUGUUGGGUUAAGUCCCGCAACGAGCGCAACCCUUAUUGUUAGUUGCCAUCAUUCAGUUGGGCACUCUAGCGAGACUGCCGCAGACAAUGCGGAGGAAGGUGGGGAUGACGUCAAAUCAUCAUGCCCCUUAUGACCUGGGCUACACACGUGCUACAAUGGAGAGUACAACGAGUUGCGAAGUCGUGAGGCUAAGCUAAUCUCUUAAAGCUCUUCUCAGUUCGGAUUGUAGGCUGCAACUCGCCUACAUGAAGCCGGAAUCGCUAGUAAUCGCGGAUCAGCACGCUGCGGUGAAUACGUUCCCGGGUCUUGUACACACC
RNAcentral lists this ribosomal RNA (430 nucleotides) under uncultured bacterium. RNAcentral's name for it is "bacterial SSU rRNA". It matches the Rfam family "Bacterial small subunit ribosomal RNA", at positions 960 to 1391 of the family's 1533-position model. The record is from RNAcentral.